This 403-nucleotide unclassified non-coding RNA is filed under the name soil metagenome. RNAcentral describes it as "partial contains 5.8S ribosomal RNA, internal transcribed spacer 2, and large subunit ribosomal RNA". The stretch from base 1 to 121 matches the Rfam family "5.8S ribosomal RNA", at positions 36 to 154 of the family's 154-position model. The record is from RNAcentral.
AUGAAGAACGCAGUAAAAUGCGAUACUUGGUGUGAAUUGCAGAAUCCCGUGAACCAUCGAGUUUUUGAACGCAAGUUGCGCCCGAAGCCUUUUGGCCGAGGGCACGUCUGCCUGGGCGUCACGCAUCGCGUCGCCCCCCACAAUUCUCCGUAAAGGGAACAUGUGUUUUGGGGGCGGAUAUUGGUCUCCCGUGCUCAUGGCGUGGUUGGCCGAAAUAGGAGUCCUUUCGAUGGACGCACGAACUAGUGGUGGUCGUAAAAACCCUCGUCUUUUGUUUCGUGCUGUUGCUCGCAAGGUAAACUCUUUAAAAACCCCAAUGUGUCGUCUCUUGACGACGCUUCGACCGCGACCCCAGGUCAGGCGGGACUACCCGCUGAGUUUAAGCAUAUCAAUAAGCGGAGGA